This is a long non-coding RNA of Culex quinquefasciatus (southern house mosquito), 1612 nucleotides long. RefSeq lists it as uncharacterized. The record is from RefSeq and is a predicted model, not a curated record. The transcript is spliced from 2 exons. Lineage: Eukaryota; Metazoa; Arthropoda; Insecta; Diptera; Culicidae.
GGACUUUCCAUACAACUUGCACGCAAAGCACUUCAUUGGCCGUAGUCAGUCUCGUUUCGGUUCUGGUGCGCGACGGAAGUGUUGCCGCGCUCGUCGGUCGAUUCGUUCGAAUAGUCGUAGUUUGCGAAACUCGUAACUUCUUCGACGCACAGUUACGUCGACGUCGAUGUUUAUGGUUCUUUCGCGACGGUCGUAAAUAUCUCUCUCUUUCGUGGUGCGUGCCGUGUAAUCGUUUUGGGAUUUGGCGAGGUUUGCACGGAGUUCAGUGUGAAUCGCUGAGGACUAACAUUCCGCAAUACUGUUAGUACGUGAGGUUGGUGUGUGGCUAAUCAACUCAUUAAACACGUGCUCUGGUUGCGGUUUGGGCUGGACUGUUGAGUUCAACGUUCAAGUGACGUUUGCUGGCAGUAAUUCGGACUACCAAGAGUCAACAGUUAAUGGGUGUGAACCGCAAAAAGUGAGUUACAGUUUCAAACAAAAAAAAAAAAAAAAAACCUCAACGCUGAACAGUCUGAGCAGCUCAGCUGGAAUCUACUAAAAGUUACGACUGAAAAGACCUGGUCGACCACGUUGGAAUAGUUUGUGGUUUGCAAGCAUAAUGUUGUCGGUGUUUGUCAGUCCCUCCUGAAUAAGUUGCUUCAAAAUGAACUCCUGAACUUCUAAACAUCUAAAUGUGUGAUUAACCAACAACUCCGACCUAUCAACGAUCCCAGCACAAAACUAAACUGAAAUCUAGCAACUCCAGUGCAAAACUACUCCUCAACAGUUCCACAACAAAAAAAGAAAAAAAAAACCAAAAAAUACAAAACCAAGUGUGUUGACUGGAAAAAAACUACUACCAUCCUCCGCUUGAGCUGCAAAUGGCUUGCAGCCAGAAGUGCUCACUUUCUCUAGUUUUGUUAGCAAAAACCGGGAGAAAGAAUCGCUAAAAAUAUUCACGUUUGCAUCCGCGCUAACACGUAGAAGGUGUACUAAAUAGUUCCACAGUUGGUCGCUGUUGUAACGAUAACUGCCGCGCCAAAGUACAGUAAAACGAGUGUAUUUUUACGUGGCAACUUGUGAAUCUCACAUGUGAAAAGAGUUUGGCUAAAAAUGAAGCAAAAAGUGAGUUGAAUCGAAAGUCAUCAUCAGACAACAAGAGAGAGAAAAAAAAACCCUGGUGUUCAUUUUGUUCAGUGUGUAAUGUUGAGUGAAAUAGUUUUCUGAAAACCACACCGAGAACAAAUUCCUGAAUAGAAUUCCAGAAUCUGCCGCUGCGAAAAGCUCUUCCGAAGAAAGAAAGUCAUCAUUUUCCCCAAUGGGGAGGAAGGAUUAAAAUGAAUGUGCAGAUGAAAGUUUAAGUGAAAAAGUUUCCUACUUUUGAUCGUACUUCCUGCUGUUGCUGCUGGUGACUGGAUCUGAGUCCUGGGAAAAUAAGGCAAAAGACUUUUCCUCUGAAGUAAAUGUGUAUAUAUGUUAAUCAUUUUUCUAUUGCAAUUCCACCACCAGACGGUCGGUCGCUCUCCGGUGAAUCAGAAACAGCAAAGCUGUGUGCAAAAUAAAAGUCCUGCCCAGAAACACUCCAGCUUCUGCUGGCAGCAGAACUCGGUGCAUUUUUAAUCAUCUGGGUAAA